Molecule: transfer RNA, 42 nt
Filed under: Pupalia grandiflora
Lineage: Eukaryota; Viridiplantae; Streptophyta; Magnoliopsida; Caryophyllales; Amaranthaceae
Rfam family: tRNA
About the family: Transfer RNA (tRNA) molecules are approximately 80 nucleotides in length. Their secondary structure includes four short double-helical elements and three loops (D, anti-codon, and T loops). Further hydrogen bonds mediate the characteristic L-shaped molecular structure. tRNAs have two regions of fundamental functional importance: the anti-codon, which is responsible for specific mRNA codon recognition, and the 3' end, to which the tRNAs corresponding amino acid is attached (by aminoacyl-tRNA synthetases). tRNAs cope with the degeneracy of the genetic code in two manners: having more than one tRNA (with a specific anti-codon) for a particular amino acid; and 'wobble' base-pairing, i.e. permitting non-standard base-pairing at the 3rd anti-codon position.
Source: RNAcentral
GUCGGGAUAGCUCAGCUGGYAGAGCAGAGGACUGAAAAUCCU